This 272-nucleotide long non-coding RNA is filed under the name Phoenix dactylifera (date palm). RNAcentral describes it as "long non-coding RNA (PDAC_LNC016703)". The record is from RNAcentral. Lineage: Eukaryota; Viridiplantae; Streptophyta; Magnoliopsida; Arecales; Arecaceae.
UGAAUAUACUACCUCAAAUUGAGGCCCGUGGAUUUCUAAUUGAGCAUCUAUACAAAUUUAUCUAGUGCACUCAAGAUCCAACUUUGUCUGUAUAUUUGAUCUUGAGAAGACUAUCAACAAUUGACUCAGUCAAAGCACAAGAACACACCAAAUAUAUAUGCAUAGACCUCUUAAGUAGUUAAGUCAAAGGACAUACAAACUAAUUGUGCUGAAUACUCUUCUCAACAUCAGUGAUCACUUUCAGAAGGUAUUCAUAUUUGGAUCCCGUUCAA